RNAcentral lists this small nuclear RNA (142 nucleotides) under Castor canadensis (American beaver). RNAcentral's name for it is "U1 spliceosomal RNA (ENSCCNG00000024599.1)". It matches the Rfam family "U1 spliceosomal RNA". Rfam says of the family: U1 is a small nuclear RNA (snRNA) component of the spliceosome (involved in pre-mRNA splicing). The record is from RNAcentral. Lineage: Eukaryota; Metazoa; Chordata; Mammalia; Rodentia; Castoridae.
GUACUUACCUGGCUGGGGUGGUUUUCCCAGGGCGAGGCUCAUCCACUGUGCUCCAGAUGUGCUGACCCCUGUGAUUUCAACAAAUGUGGGAAACUCAACUGCAUAAUUUGUGGUAGUGGGAGACUGUGUUCACACUCUUCCC